Molecule: ribosomal RNA, 484 nt
Filed under: uncultured bacterium
Lineage: Bacteria
Description: partial 16S ribosomal RNA
Rfam family: Bacterial small subunit ribosomal RNA
Source: RNAcentral
AUUGAACGCUGGCGGUAGGCCUAACACAUGCAAGUCGAGCGGAUGAAGGGAGCUUGCUCCUGGAUUCAGCGGCGGACGGGUGAGUAAUGCCUAGGAAUCUGCCUGGUAGUGGAGGAUAACGUCCGGAAACGGGCGCUAAUACCGCAUACGUCCUGAGGGAGAAAGUGGGGGAUCUUCGGACCUCACGCUAUCAGAUGAGCCUAGGUCGGAUUAGCUAGUUGGUGGGGUAAAGGCCUACCAAGGCGACGAUCCGUAACUGGUCUGAGAGGAUGAUCAGUCACACUGGAACUGAGACACGGUCCAGACUCCUACGGGAGGCAGCAGUGGGGAAUAUUGGACAAUGGGCGAAAGCCUGAUCCAGCCAUGCCGCGUGUGUGAAGAAGGUCUUCGGAUUGUAAAGCGCUUUAAGUUGGGAGGAAGGGCAGUAAGUUAAUACCUUGCUGUUUUGACGUUACCAACAGAAUAAGCACCGGCUAACUUCGUG